Molecule: regulatory RNA element, 271 nt
Organism: Weissella viridescens
Lineage: Bacteria; Bacillati; Bacillota; Bacilli; Lactobacillales; Lactobacillaceae
Rfam family: T-box leader
About the family: Uncharged tRNA acts as the effector for transcription antitermination of genes in the T-box leader family.
Source: Rfam
AGAAACAAGUUGAGCAGGAAAGUAAAUUUAAAACACAUGUCUCAGAGAAAACAACGUUAGGUGGGAGUUGUUACAUGAUGUUUGAAUUGAAAAUGGCCUGUGAUUGGCGUUAAUGAGCAGCAAGACUGUAAGUUAACGACGUAUUGGUCUACGUUACAAGACACACGAAUCGGCAUAGCAUCAUAUCGCUCACUGCCCGCUCGUUGCCGAGGUCUAGAAGAGCAUUUUUCUAGGUAAAGUAGAAUGGUAACACGGAAGAUCCGUUUCUAUA